AUGGGGGCCAUAGACCUUGGGAACCCGCUCCUCAACCGCACCGUCGACGGCUUCCUCAAGAUCGGCGCCGCAUGGAGUAUGGAGUGGAAAGGGCCAGUGGUGACUGUGACUCGUCCAGAAUGGGGCGUGGGAGAAGCUGCCGGCCGGCGGAUCUGUGUGAAAGCCACCAUUGAGAGGAACAAAAAGGCCAACCAUGACACAUCCAACUCUAGCACGGUUGCAGAAGUCAAUGCCCACUUUGCUAUCUUAGGAGAACCUGGUGUGCUAUAUGGGGAAGCAAAGCAGCAACCCACAACUCAACUUGUGACUCCAGAUGAAGGCACCACGACGCACCAUGAUUAUCCAUUGGAAGGGCUUCCGAGUUUGCACCCCGCCGUCCGGACGGAGCAAGGAGGGGUCAUCGUCCACACCGUGGAGUUGGUUGAGCCUUGA
RNAcentral lists this ribosomal RNA (432 nucleotides) under Triticum aestivum (bread wheat). RNAcentral's name for it is "partial small subunit ribosomal RNA". Lineage: Eukaryota; Viridiplantae; Streptophyta; Magnoliopsida; Poales; Poaceae. The record is from RNAcentral.